UAUGGUAAUCCAGCAGCCGCGGUAAUACGGAAGGUCCGGGCGUUAUCCGGAUUUAUUGGGUUUAAAGGGAGCGUAGGCCGGAGAUUAAGCGUGUUGUGAAAUGUAGACGCUCAACGUCUGCACUGCAGCGCGAACUGGUUUUCUUGAGUACGCACAAAGUGGGCGGAAUUCGUGGUGUAGCGGUGAAAUGCUUAGAUAUCACGAAGAACUCCGAUUGCGAAGGCAGCUCACUGGAGCGCAACUGACGCUGAAGCUCGAAAGUGCGGGUAUCGAACAGG
Molecule: ribosomal RNA, 278 nt
Filed under: Segatella copri DSM 18205
Lineage: Bacteria; Pseudomonadati; Bacteroidota; Bacteroidia; Bacteroidales; Prevotellaceae
Description: Prevotella copri DSM 18205 partial 16S ribosomal RNA
Rfam family: Bacterial small subunit ribosomal RNA
Source: RNAcentral